CGGCGGACGGGUGAGUAACACGUUGGAUAACCUACCUAUAAGACUGGGAUAACUUCGGGAAACCGGAGCUAAUACCGGAUAAUAUAUUGAACCGCAUGGUUCAAUAGUGAAAGACGGUUUUGCUGUCACUUAUAGAUGGAUCCGCGCCGCAUUAACUAGUUGGUAAGGUAACGGCUUACCAAGGCAACGAUGCGUAGCCGACCUGAGAGGGUGAUCGGCCACACUGGAACUGAGACACGGUCCAGACUCCUACGGGAGGCAGCAGUC
Molecule: ribosomal RNA, 267 nt
Filed under: uncultured Staphylococcus sp.
Lineage: Bacteria; Bacillati; Bacillota; Bacilli; Caryophanales; Staphylococcaceae
Description: partial 16S ribosomal RNA
Rfam family: Bacterial small subunit ribosomal RNA
Source: RNAcentral